GAUGAACGCUGGCGGCGUGCCUAAUACAUGCAAGUAGAACGCUGAAGGAAGGAGCUUGCUCUUUCCGGAUGAGUUGCGAACGGGUGAGUAACGCGUAGGUAACCUGCCUGGUAGCGGGGGAUAACUAUUGGAAACGAUAGCUAAUACCGCAUAACAGUAGAUGUUGCAUGAUAUCUACUUAAAAGGUGCAAUUGCACCACUACCAGAUGGACCUGCGUUGUAUUAGCUAGUUGGUGAGGUAACGGCUCACCAAGGCGACGAUACAUAGCCGACCUGAGAGGGUGAUCGGCCACACUGGGACUGAGACACGGCCCAGACUCCUACGGGAGGCAGCAGUAGGGAAUCUUCGGCAGUGGACGGAAGUCUGACCGAGCAACGCCGCGUGAGUGAAGAAGGUUUUCGGAUCGUAAAGCUCUGUUGUAAGAGAAGAACGAGUGUGAGAGUGGAAAGUUCACACUGUGACGGUAUCUUACCAGAAAGGGACGGCUAACUACGUG
Molecule: ribosomal RNA, 497 nt
Filed under: uncultured bacterium
Lineage: Bacteria
Description: partial 16S ribosomal RNA
Rfam family: Bacterial small subunit ribosomal RNA
Source: RNAcentral